CGUUUCCUCCUGAAAAUGCCCAUCUCGGAACCUUGGCUGUGCCCCGAGGGAGGCACCGGAAUGGCAAAAGUGAGGACAUACGGCUGCCAGCAUCGUCUAUGCUCUAGAUAGGGGUCAAAUGUCAACUUUCUGCCAGGUCCAGCCCGGAUGUGAGGGCUGUGAAGGCAACAACCAAGGAACCAUUCCUUCGGAUGGAAGUCCUAUGGCAGAGAGAAGCUGAUGUUUGAAUUUUCCUGUAGAGCCCUUGAGGUUCCAUGAAUCAGUCUGGGAAGGAUGCAGGUUAAGUGGGAAGCAGAAGCCCUCAAUCACGUGAUGACGGAAAAGCCGAAAAGGCUGGGUUAUACCCUUAGGAAACCUAUUUGUUUCUUGGCUCCCUGCAGGGGCAUGCACACUAGCAAAGGCUCAAUCCCUUCAUUAUUCAUUUGAUCACAAAAGAAGGAAUGAGAGGAAAAAUACUUUUAUUUUUCACCAAGCAAUCACCAAGCGCAGUCUCAACGAAGAGCCCCUCCUUCUUUCAUGUCUUCUUUUGUGUGUGACUUACUCAGUCUAAGGUAAAGGAACCCAAGCUGGGCCCAAUGCCAAGUGCACUUCUUCAAUGUUACAUUCUGGGACAGGAGAGAGGAUCACUGGUUGAGCCUACCUACUCUGUGGACACAUUGUAAUCCUGAAACUGUUCUGAGCUUCCAUUCAUGGCCAGGACACCUGAUCACUUCAUCGUUGGGUUCUGUGUUUGAAAACUGGGCCAGCUCUGAACCUGGGUGACAGAACACACUGUGGAGAAACCUUGUCUCUAGGAUCUUGCUCAUACACUCUUGGCUCCUCUUGCUCUGGUGGAGCUCCUCAGUGCCCACUGGGAAAGUGAUCUGGCUCCCAAGACCACCAGCCUGUUCAAGUCAUGGAUGGCACCAGUUUUCACAGGCUGAGUGAUUAGAAAACAGACUCUGGGACAGCUGUGUACAUAAGAGUCAUCUGGGCAUUGCUCUUACAAUCCCUGUAGAAGACAAGAGCUCAGAUUGACCCACCCGAAGUCCCUGGGAUUCACUUCUUCACCCUUCACACCUCGGCUUGCAGAAACAAGAUGCCACGUUUGACUUUAUGUGGUUGCUGGGAACAUGAAUUUGGGUCCUAGGGUUUACAAGUCAAGCACUUUACCCAUUGACCAUCUCCCUAGCCGUGUGACUGGCUUCUUUACCUUCAUGAUAACUACUCAUCAGCUAUAUUUUAAUCUGGCAAGGGGACUUGAAUUUGAAUGAGAUGACUCUAGUUAAAUAGUUUUGAUGAGGAGUGACAACUGAAGGCUCUUCGGGGCUAAAGGGAUACUUAGGUGUUGUGUUCCAUCCCCACCCCUGUUGACUAUAUAGGGCGAUACAAUGACUAACACAGGCUGGACACUUUAGAAGACAAACUUCAGACAAUUCCCCACCAAAAGGAUGUAUACCCUGGUUAUGGGUUUUUGGUUUGGGAGACUAUGUAUGCUAAGAUGAAUGUAGCUUGAUGAGUUGGGAAGACACUACAUAUGAGAUGAGCCAUGGUAAAGACUGCAUAAAGACAGGGGCAGACUUGGAUCUUUCCUUUCUCGGUUGCUAAAUGACUGAAAAAGCCUUUUAACCCCAUAGACCUUCUGCUCAUCUAAACAGAGUGGAGGUUGGCACUAUCUAAGACAUAUAAAGAACCGUCAAAACUCAGUGAUUAAAAUAUUAGACUAGGAAACUUAGAAAAGACAGAUCUGCCACUAAAGAGGCUAUAAAGAUGACAAAGUAGUAUAUGAAAAGAGGAUCAACAGCAUAAGCCAUCAUAGAAACACUCAGUAAACAUACAGUAUGAUACACUAAGGAGUUGAGGGGUCACUCAGUGGUUAGGGGCACAGAGGACUCUGCCAGAGGACUUGAGUUCACUUCCCAUCUCAUGUGGUUCGCAAUUGCCUAUAACUCCAGCUCCAAGGGUGAGGAUGGUCUUCCACACACACAUGCACACACACACACACACACACACACACACACACACACACACACACAUACACACAUACAUGCACAAAUGCGCAUGCUCACACACAAACACAUACUCACAUAUAUAAAUAAAAUAGAGAUCCUACCCUACUAUCAGAAUGGUUCAAAAAAUUUAAGGACAUCAACAAACACUGGCAAGGAUGUCAGACUCAUACGCAGCUACUGAGAAUGUAAAAUGGGACAAUCAGUCUAAAAACUGCAUUGAUGUCUCUAGGAAAUCAAACAUAUGCCUGCCAUAUGACCCAGAAAACAUUUUCCUAAGGCAUUUAUCCAAGAGAAGUGAAAGUGCACAAAAUCUACAUAUGCAUUUUCAUAUAUGUUGAUUUUCAAUAACUAGAAAUAACCCAAGCAUCUCACAACAAGCGAGCAAUUAGACAAACUACCAAGUCCACAUUCAGAAAUACUACUCACCAAUAGCAAUGAGAACAGUGUCGGUCUACACAACAACUCAGGUGGAUAUCAAGAGAAUCAUGCUGGGGAGGGAAAUUUCAGACUUCCGUAUGGUGUUUGAUAAAAUUUAUGCAACAUUCUUAAAAUUAAUCAAAGUAUAAAUCUGGAGACAUAUUAUUGCUGGUCACAGGUCGGGAGAAGGGACAGGUGGCAGUUGGUUCUAAAAGGUAUCACAAGAGGCCACUGAUGGGACGAGUCUAAGUUUGACUAUGGUGGUUUUCUUUUUCUCGGUUUUCUUUUUCUAUGAUAAACACCAUUACCAAACGCAAUUUGGAGAGGAAAGGGUUUGUUUCAUCUGACAGGAGACAGAUUGAAAGCAGGACCUUAAAGCAGAAACCACAGAGGGAUGCCCUUUAGUGGUUUGCUCCGUGUUCAGCUAGCUUUCUUAGACAACCUAAGCGACCUGCCUAGGGAAGAUGCUCCCCGUAGUAAACUGGACAGAGAAGGUACCACACACAUCCCCAUAGGCAACCUGAUGGAGGCCAUCCCUUAACCGGCAGGUUCUUUCUUCCCAAGUGUAUCUCAUAGAGAGGCACACGAGUCUCUCCACAUAACAAAGUUACAGACAGAGUGGCACCGGCCUAAAAUCUCAACUACGCAGGUGACAGAGGCAGAAGGAUUGCAAGUUUCAGGUAUGCCUGUGUUACAGAUUGGGAUCAACGCUACCUUGGGCAACUUAAGUCAGAUGGAACCAGAAGGCUGGGGAUACAUCUCAGCGGUAGAGCACUGGCUUAGCCUGUGUAGGUCAGUUUCUAGUAUGGCAAGCAAUCAAUGAAUAGCUGAAAAUAUGCAUGUCUAAGCACAGGGCAAAACUAUGAAACCUGGAUAUGACUAGUAUAGUCUGUCAAUUUUCUGGUUGUGAAGUGGUGUUGUGGUUAUGCAAUCUGUUGCCAACUAAUAAAAACUGGUAUGCAUAUGAA
Molecule: long non-coding RNA, 3376 nt
Filed under: Mus musculus (house mouse)
Lineage: Eukaryota; Metazoa; Chordata; Mammalia; Rodentia; Muridae
Description: RIKEN cDNA E130008D07 gene
Source: RNAcentral